Molecule: small nucleolar RNA, 222 nt
Filed under: Triticum aestivum (bread wheat)
Lineage: Eukaryota; Viridiplantae; Streptophyta; Magnoliopsida; Poales; Poaceae
Description: Plant small nucleolar RNA U3
Rfam family: Plant small nucleolar RNA U3
About the family: Small nucleolar RNAs (snoRNAs) are involved in the processing and modification of rRNA in the nucleolus. There are two main classes of snoRNAs: the box C/D class, and the box H/ACA class. U3 snoRNA is a member of the box C/D class.
Source: Rfam by way of RNAcentral
ACGACCUUACUUGAACAGGAUCUGUUCUAUAGGCUCGUACCGUUGCAUCCUUUACCAAUAAGGAGGCAAGCACUUCAGUCUGGUUGAUGUAUUCUGACCUCUGGGCCAGAGCGUGAUUAACGGUCAGGAUUACCCUGAUGGGGCAAUCUGAUGGCUGUAGAGGAUCGUUCCUGCCUGGCUCUCACGCCUGUGCAGGGUGGCCCAGAGGUUGUCUGACAGACU